This is a long non-coding RNA of Clupea harengus (Atlantic herring), 1920 nucleotides long. NCBI's taxonomy places the organism in Eukaryota, Metazoa, Chordata, Actinopteri, Clupeiformes, Clupeidae. The record is from Ensembl.
GUGUGUGUGUGAGUGUGUGUGUGUGUGUGAGUGCACUCCAGGAAGUCUCAAGCGUUUCAUCCUUCUGCCCCUUCUGUUGUCGUACAUACGUUUUUUGGUGUUCUCACACUGCGGUUAAUAUGUUUAAGUGACCUACAUUUAGUUUCUAUGAACUGUGUUAGUUUGUUGACAUGCAAAAUGAAAUGAUUAGUAAUGUAUGUUACGUGCUAAUAUAUGACUGUUAGUAUACCAUUCAUUCAUCAUUCCGUUAAUGGCUAACGUUAGCACUUGUUAGCCAGCUGUGCUGUAGUAAUAUAGGAACUUGCUGUGUUAGUUAAGAGACCUUCUAAGUAUUUUCUGCUUCUUGUGUAUUACAGUUUCACUCAUAGGUUUUCACUUGUACAUUUAGCGUAAAUAAUUUAUUAAAUGAAAUGAUACGCUCAUACGGCAGUGAAGGGAAAGUAAAGUGUAGGAUAUGUAAGAAAUGAAUAGUUAUCCCAACGGCUCCUGCUGUGAACUAUCCAAAUGGGAUCAAAUAUGAAGUCCACAUUUGUAACAUGACGGUCCAAUAUGAGUUUGUUUGUGGCGUUCCUGAGAAGGCGCCAUUUUCACUUCCAUAGCCCUUGAGUUGACCUUGGGUGUUUAGGCCUUGGUGUAAUGUAGGACUUUACCACAACAGUCAAUGGGCAUAAUAAUCUUAUGGAAAAUACUGCUAUGUAAAACUGGCGAUUGCUUUUGGUGUCUACUGCUUAUUUGCUCACUUUUGUAACGCCUUGACUGUUUCACACCUUUCUUACUUCCUUUAUGAAACCAAGAGCUCUGACAUUUUAAAGAACUGUGAUCAGAUAAACAGGAAAUGUUCACAGGUCGACCCAUGUCCAUAUUUGGCAGCAGACAUUCGCAUCUCAUCUCUCUCUCUCUCUCUCUCUCUUCCUUCUAUCGAACACUGAUCUUUUUUGGAUUUUGGUCUUUCCUGUCCCCUCAAAUACCCAGUUGGUUAUUCAGUGUUAUCAGAGAAAUAUCUCAAUAAAGUGAAGCUUGACGUCGGUACAACACAAUGCAUUAUUGUGAACAGAGAGGCUAAUACACAAAGUUUUCUCUUUCUGUUUUGAUCUGAUAAGGGGCUGGCUUGUCAUUUUCCUUUCGACCCUGAAAAAAAUAAGAGGAUAGGUGAAUAUUGCACGGGUUAUAUCACAUUUAAUCUACGUUAAGCAGAGGUGAACGCCUCUCCACCGUUAGCUGGCUGGCUGCAGCAAAGCAUCAAAUAAUGUCAUUCAUUGAGCCUGUUUACAUUGAGGCCGUAACAGGCUAUAAUAAUAUUGGGCUUGUUUUUGAAGCUGCGGGUGCUUAUUUGUCUCGCGAGAGUUGGCAACACUGACACACAGUACUAUAUUAGUGUCUGUUGAGCGACUUUCACUUUCAUACCAUGCAGACGCUUGUAUCGUGGAAUAGAGAAUUUCGCGGCAGUGAAGAAUUUACGCUCAUGGUGAAAGCUUCUCUGAUGUGUUACGCUUUUCCUCACACCCUCGAAAGCAAUGGCUUUUCACGCAUACGUUUUCACCUGUAUAUCAAUAAAGGAGCAAGGCGCUCGCUUCCUGUCUCGUGAAAACCGAGUUUGGCUGAAAGUUUAACUACUGGUCGUGUAAAACACGUAGCAGGAACAGUACAUUUAGCGUAUAUGAUUUAUUUAAUGAAAUGAUACGCUAAUUUCUUCGUCGAUAGAAGAACAUCUGUGGACCAGACUGUAGUUCAGGCAGGGGCGCUAACAAACAGUAUAGAAGCGUGCAGGGCUGUGCAACUUCCUGGUUGGAAUACUGAAGAGGAACAGAAUGAGAACAGUUUUGAAUGAAGGCCUAGGUUAGGCGAUGUUCUCAUGUGAGAGUCAUCGCAAUGGAAAGUUUUUAAAACGUGCGAUCCGGGGCGUAACUAUAGACUGUGCAG